RNAcentral lists this ribosomal RNA (253 nucleotides) under uncultured bacterium. RNAcentral describes it as "partial 16S ribosomal RNA". It matches the Rfam family "Bacterial small subunit ribosomal RNA", at positions 524 to 776 of the family's 1533-position model. The record is from RNAcentral.
UACGUAGGGUGCGAGCGUUAUUCGGAAUUACUGGGCGUAAAGAGCGCGCAGGCGGCUUCGCAAGUCGGGUGUGAAAUCCCCGAGCUUAACUUGGGAAUUGCGCUCGAAACUACGGAGCUGGAGUGUGGCAGAGGAAGGUGGAAUUCCACGUGUAGCGGUGAAAUGCGUAGAGAUGUGGAGGAACACCGAUGGCGAAGGCAGCCUGCUGGGCCAACACUGACGCUCAUGCACGAAAGCGUGGGGAGCAAACAGG